UCCUGUCUGAAUAUGGGGGGACCAUCCUCCAAGGCUAAAUACUCCUGACUGACCGAUAGUGAACCAGUACCGUGAGGGAAAGGCGAAAAGAACCCCGGCGAGGGGAGUGAAAAAGAACCUGAAACCGUGUACGUACAAGCAGUGGGAGCACCUUCGGGUGUGACUGCGUACCUUUUGUAUAAUGGGUCAGCGACUUAUAUUCUGUAGCAAGGUUAACCGUAUAGGGGAGCCGCAGGGAAACCGAGUCUUAACUGGGCGUUAAGUUGCAGGGUAUAGACCCGAAACCCGGUGAUCUAGCCAUGGGCAGGUUGAAGGUUGGGUAACACUAACUGGAGGACCGAACCGACUAAUGUUGAAAAAUUAGCGGAUGACUUGUGGCUGGGGGUGAAAGGCCAAUCAAACCGGGAGAUAGCUGGUUCUCCCCGAAAGCUAUUUAGGUAGCGCCUCGUGAAUUCAUCUUCGGGGGUAGAGCACUGUUUCGGCUAGGGGGUCAUCCCGACUUACCAACCCGAUGCAAACUACGAAUACCGAAGAAUGUUAUCACGGGAGACACACGGCGGGUGCUAACGUCCGUCGUGAAGAGGGAAACAACCCAGACCGCCAGCUAAGGUCCCAAAGUCAUGGUUAAGUGGGAAACGAUGUGGGAAGGCACAGACAGCCAGGAUGUUGGCUUAGAAGCAGCCAUCAUUUAAAGAAAGCGUAAUAGCUCACUGGUCGAGUCGGCCUGCGCGGAAGAUGUAACGGGGCUAAACCAUGCACCGAAGCUGCGGCAGCGACACUAUGUGUUGUUGGGUAGGGGAGCG
RNAcentral lists this ribosomal RNA (803 nucleotides) under Klebsiella pneumoniae. Its description in RNAcentral is "partial 23S ribosomal RNA". It matches the Rfam family "Bacterial large subunit ribosomal RNA", at positions 432 to 1238 of the family's 2925-position model. The record is from RNAcentral. Lineage: Bacteria; Pseudomonadati; Pseudomonadota; Gammaproteobacteria; Enterobacterales; Enterobacteriaceae.